UUGCCAGCCGCCGCGGUAAUACGGAGGGUGCGAGCGUUAAUCGGAAUUACUGGGCGUAAAGGGCGCGUAGGCGGUCGCGCAAGUCGGGUGUGAAAGCCCCGGGCUCAACCUGGGAAUUGCAUUCGAUACUGCGUAACUAGAGUCUGGUAGAGGGAAGCGGAAUUCCGCAUGUAGCGGUGAAAUGCGUAGAUAUGCGGAGGAACACCAGUGGCGAAGGCGGCUUCCUGGACCAAGACUGACGCUGAGGCGCGAAAGCGUGGGGAGCAAACAGGAUUAGAUACCCUGGUAGUCCACGCCCUAAACGAUGAGGACUAGACGUUGGGGGGAUAAAACCCUUUGGUGUCGCAGCUAACGCGUGAAGUCCUCCGCCUGGGGAGUACGGCCGCAAGGUUGAAACUCAAAUGAAUUGGCGG
RNAcentral lists this ribosomal RNA (413 nucleotides) under uncultured bacterium. RNAcentral describes it as "bacterial SSU rRNA". It matches the Rfam family "Bacterial small subunit ribosomal RNA", at positions 505 to 916 of the family's 1533-position model. The record is from RNAcentral.